This 67-nucleotide transfer RNA is filed under the name Dermacentor marginatus. RNAcentral describes it as "tRNA-Gln". RNAcentral also lists the same sequence under 1 other name. The record is from RNAcentral. Lineage: Eukaryota; Metazoa; Arthropoda; Arachnida; Ixodida; Ixodidae.
UAACUUUAGGUGUAAUUGCACAAAAAAUUUUGAAUUUUUAAGAAAUAAUUAACUUUAUUAAAGUUAA